Non-coding RNA from Pantherophis guttatus, 464 nucleotides. The record is from RefSeq and is a predicted model, not a curated record. NCBI's taxonomy places the organism in Eukaryota, Metazoa, Chordata, Lepidosauria, Squamata, Colubridae.
UAAAUCGCAAGAACUGGAUUUCCUUCCACCAGUCCUGACUUCCUAUGUUUUGGGGAAAGGCUGUCAUUCCCAGGUGGACUCUGAUAAUAUCAAAAGUAUUGAAUUACAAGAGGACAAGAAAAGAAGAAAGAAAAAAACAACGGUUUGGUUGGAUGGACUCCAUUUUAACUCCUGCUCCAGUUAAAGGGUAGAGAAAUUAUCAACCAAGCCAAUGUGAUAUAGAGUUGGAAGAGGAGUGGCAUGGAGUUACCAUCAAUCCCUUAUAAACGGAUCACCCCUUGCUGGUUUUGGAGGUAAAAGGCAUACCACAACAGCAAAGAGAGGAAAGGAAAUGAAGGAUUUCCAGAAUAUCUGCCAAGCAAAACUUUUUCCAUCCUUUUUAAAGCCUUGAAGUUGACUUUGAGCUUCUAAUAAGCCUUCACCAAACAUCAAAGUUAUCACUUAUAAACGAAACAUGAUCAGAA